AGUGAACGCUGGCGGCAGGCCUAACACAUGCAAGUCGAACGGCAGCACAGAGGAGUUUGCUCCUUGGGUGGCGAGUGGCGGACGGGUGAGGAAUGCAUCGGAAUCUGCCUAUUUGUGGGGGAUAACGUAGGGAAACUUACGCUAAUACCGCAUACGACCUACGGGUGAAAGUGGGGGACCUUCGGGCCUCACGCAGAUAG
This 200-nucleotide ribosomal RNA is filed under the name uncultured bacterium. Its description in RNAcentral is "partial 16S ribosomal RNA". It matches the Rfam family "Bacterial small subunit ribosomal RNA", at positions 29 to 224 of the family's 1533-position model. The record is from RNAcentral.